RNAcentral lists this ribosomal RNA (434 nucleotides) under uncultured Lachnospiraceae bacterium. RNAcentral's name for it is "partial 16S ribosomal RNA". It matches the Rfam family "Bacterial small subunit ribosomal RNA", at positions 341 to 792 of the family's 1533-position model. Lineage: Bacteria; Bacillati; Bacillota; Clostridia; Lachnospirales; Lachnospiraceae. The record is from RNAcentral.
ACGGAAGGCAGCAGUGGGGAAUAUUGGACAAUGGGGGAAACCCUGAUCCAGCGACGCCGCGUGAGUGAAGAAGUAUUUCGGUAUGUAAAGCUCUAUCAGCAAGGAAGAAAAUGACGGUACUUGACUAAGAAGCUCCGGCUAAAUACGUGCCAGCAGCCGCGGUAAUACGUAUGGAGCAAGCGUUAUCCGGAUUUACUGGGUGUAAAGGGAGUGUAGACGGCAAAGCAAGUCCGAAGUGAAAUCCCGGGGCUCAACCCCGGAACUGCUUUGGAAACUGUUUAGCUAGAGUGCAGGAGAGGUAAGCGGAAUUCCUAGUGUAGCGGUGAAAUGCGUAGAUAUUAGGAGGAACACCAGUGGCGAAGGCGGCUUACUGGACUGUAACUGACGUUGAGGCUCGAAAGCGUGGGGAGCAAACAGGAUUAGAUACCCUGGUA